GUAGAAGGUGGGUGGCUUGGGCUGAGGCAUCCAACCUUCCCUUCCUCUCCCCACAUUCCUUGCUUCCUGGAGGACCCCCCUGUCUUCUCUGCCAGGUCCUGCCUCAGGGAUGCAGAGACUAGCAGCGUCGGGGCAGGAGCCUGAGCCUCCCAGAGGGGAGACAAGGGUGGGAAGGUGGUGGAGGGGCAAGGGGAGGGUGCAUCUGGAGGGGGAGGGGACACACUGGCUCCUCAGCCCUGUCUGGGUGCUCCCCUUGCCUGGGCCAGGUCCCCUAUGGCCCUAGUCCCACCUGGUGCUCUUGGCCUGCAGGGGGCGCCAAGAGCCCAGCUACUGGCUGUGGGCCAGGUCCAUGUUUGGGAGGCCACCGGUGAGGGGACAAGGAGUUGGGCCUCAAGUUGGAUCCUUUCCUGCUCAGACCUAGACCUGGCCUCUUGAAUAAGGGUGGGGUCCCCUAUUCCCUAAAGGGCAUGGGGGCACAGAGCUGGCCCCUGUUCCCUCUGCAUCCCGCCGAUGGGCCAGGUCAGGCUGUACAGGCUCCAGGCUCCUGGUGGAGGGAGGUGUUCAAGGGCAGGGCUUCUCUGGGUAGGGAAUGCCGGCUGGGGAGGCCUGGCUGAGCUACCAGCCCACAGUGUGACCUUGGGCAAGUCCCUGCCUACCCGGAGCUUGGGUCCUCGUGGGGACACUAAACUGGUGGGUCUGUGAGGCCUUUCCCUCUGUCAGAGUGACAGUCCCUCUUCUACAGAUGGGGAUGGAGGUGUCCAAGCCUCAAAGGCCUCAGGACCCCCUGCAUUGAAUGAGAAAUAAAGUAGACCAGGGAACCCCCCACCCCUCUCCCCUAGGCUAGACUCAGUGAGGGGAGGCAGCCUGAAAUAACCAUCCUACGGCUUUAGGGGCAGGCUGCUGGGUGGCCAUGGCCGUGAGUCACUGGGACAGCUUCCAGGAAGAAGCUGAGAACCCUCUUCCGCUGAAGAGUGUGCCUGUCCCCCCCCUCCCCACGGAUGGCACCAGUGCCAUCCCCCAGCCCCUGCCUUCAUCUGGCUCAACAGCUGUCCCCUUCCGUGCAGGAGACACAGCUCCACCCCACCUCGAUUCUCCUGGGUCCCAGAGUCUUGCCUGGGAAGGCCUGGCUGCCAGGACUGGACGUGCAGCUGGGAACAGGGCGGAGAGAGUUGGGACCCCGGGCAUCACAGGCCCUUGCCCGCGCAGCCCGCUUGUUCUGGUGCCCAGGCUCAUUUUAAAGAGGAGCAAACUGAGGCCCCGAGAGGUGGAGGGACUCACCCAAAGUCACACGGCCAGUGAGUGAGUGGCUGGGAGCUCUGUGUCUCCUGUACCCCGGUUGUGGAUCUGCCUUGUUUGACAGCCGUGGGGGCUGACACUACCCUCAAUGUCGUGUCCGGCCCAUGGCCUCCUCAGGGCCCGGCACAGGUUGUGGCACAUAGAAGGUGCUCAAUAAAUGCCUACAGCAUGAUGGAGGGCUCUGUCCCCCUCGGCUCACCUCUUGGCAGAGUCGUCAGGGUAGGGAAGAGCAGGGGUGAGGGAGUAAAAUGGGGGCUGCCUUUGCCUUUGAGGGCUGGAGGCUGUGAGAGGCUAGAACCCAACUUUUUCUGGGGGCCUCAGGAAUCCCCUCUCUGCACCCUAAGGUGGCUCAGCCUUUUCCCCGGAGACAUGUGUGCCACUUGAUGACCCUGGAGCUGGGCUGGGCCCAAAUGUUGGCUGCACAAGCCAUUUCUGGGGGGCAUAGAGAACCCGGGAGUGAUCGGUAUUGGCUGCCGCUGGGCUAGCCUGGCCAGGCCCGUGGAGGGCCUCGACCAUCUCUGCUCCUUCUCUCGCUCUGGUCGCCUUGCCCCAGUUUAGGCUUCUUCCUGCCACUGCUGAGUACAGGCUUAGCAAUUUGCCACCUGCUGCUCCAGCCACCCAGGACUCUAGCCACAGCCCCGCCAUCGAUCAGGUUACCCCAGCAGCCCGGGCUGCCCCGGCUGCCGCUGCCAGCCAGCUCGUGCCCCCAUCUUCUCCAACGGGGGCUGCGGGUCCCACAGGCCCCUCCCAGGAGGCCCUCCCCGCCGGCCCGUGCCGAAGCCUGCGAGGCUGGAGGGCCCUGGCCCUGCCAGGGAGAUCAGAUCCUCUCGGCCACCUGCUGUUUUCAUUAGAAACUAAAAUUAGCUGGGCUUGUCCCAAGCUUUUCCAGGUUUGCUUGCUUUUUAAAAAAAAUAUACAAAUUCCUAGAGAAAAAUCCGCACCUCUGCGCCUCCUCUCAGCUCUUACCCUGCGCGUCAAGAGGAGAGGAGACGGGAAAUAGCUGGAGCGUUUGGGAGGCCAAGCAGAUCAGUGUCGUGGGUCCUGGCCCUGCGGGUAUCCAGGUGGGGGCUGGGACGCCAGCCCAGGCCUCUCUGCCCCCUCCCUCUGGCCUCCCUGCCUGCCUGGGCCACAUUUAGAGCCUCCUCAGAAGUGGCAGUGCCUGGGACACCAGGGAGGAAGGAGGCCAAGCAGGCGGGAGGAGGAGCCGGAAGGAGCCGGAGUGCCUGCCGAACAGUGAGCCGCCUGGGGAGACACGGCCGCGUGAAGGCAAGCAUGCCACGGGUCCCACCCAGGACCACGUUCUCUCCGGGGGUGGCCAGCACCUGGCUCCCCGGGUCCCCAUCACGCCCCUCAGCUGUUCUCCGGCCUCCGGAUGUUUCUGCACCCACGGUCUCCGAAUCCCGAGGCCCUGUCCUGGAGACCUAUCGUUUCGCACGGCCCACAGGGUGGCACACUGUGCGAGAGAGAUGGCAGACUGGGUCAGAAUCCCAGCUCUGUGUUCCCGGAGGCAAGUUAGCAAGCAUCUCUGAACCUCAGUGUCUUCAUCUGUAGAAUGGGGAGAAUAAUAGUUCUCACCUCAAGAGACGUCAACGGAUUAAAUGUUCACAUAGUAGCCACUGCUCCCCGGUUGGCAACAUUACCAAGUCCUAUUGAUCAUCACUGUGGUCAUUAAGGUGUUUACCAUCAUCACCUUCAUCAUCACUGCCACCUCAAAGCCCCCGCGCAGUCCCUCGAGCUGGGCCCUCUGCUGGACCGCAGAACAGUCCUGUUCACUGGUCUUCUUUUGCUCGGCUCUUUUAGACGGGGGUUCACCAGCCUGAGGGAAGGACACACCCCCACUGGGAAGGGCGGACACUUCGGCCUCCAUCCCCACCGCAGAGCUUGGACACAGCUUGCUCCGAUGGAGCACGCAGAGCUGAAGGAUGCUUGCCGGUGACCUGGGCCCACUGGUCGGACCCUCCAGGGACCAGGGGUCCAACAGGUGGGACACAAGUGGGUGCUUUAGGAGAUCAGAGGCUGGGGCACCGCGGUGAGGGGGCUAGGGACAGUGGGGUCCAGUGCAGGCUCAGUGUGCCUGGGGGACUUGGGAGCCCUUUGCGGGACAAGAUUGACAGGAAGGGAGGGACCUCAUGUCCCCUGUCACCUGUGCUCUUCAAACAACAGCCACAUGCUUUAAUAUAUCCUUAGUGCAGCCACACAGGGUUGGCCAGGACGGUAUCAUCCCCCUCCAUUUUACAGAUGAGGUUCCGGGAGGCAUGUGUUCAAGGCCAUGCAGCCAGUCAGGGCUGGGCAGCAUUUGAACACAGGUCAUUCUGGCUCCUAAGCCUGGGUUGGCGGAUGAGGCUCCAAAGAUGGUGUAGGGUAGUGACAAUGAUUUGAGGAAGGUGGCUUCAUUCUUCCAUUGCUGAGUCCUUCUGCGGUCCCAGGGCUUUUGGGGACCACAGCAAAGGCAUCUGCUCUGCUUUUAGGAACAAAGGAUACUGGGGAGGGAAGUGUCUCAGUGUGGGCAGCCUGGACGGCUUCUGGGGCCAUGGAAGGGGCUGCUGCUACUGGCCUGAAAGUCCUGGAGGGGCAGCCAGUAAGGAGGGGCCAGCCUUGGAGACACAGUGGCUGUAGGGGUGGUGGGCACAGCCUCCCCUCCACCUUCUCCCUGGCCUUGGGAGAACUCUGGAGUCCUCGGUGCCCAGGUCAAGUUCUCUUUGUCCCAAGUGCCUUUCCUCAGCUUGGGGCGGGGGGGGGGGGGAUGAUGGCCUUUCCUGGAGGCCAAGCCCCUACUCCUGUACCUCGGGGCACUAUUCCCCCUCCUCCUGUCUCCUGGGACCCCUCGCUUCCUUUGCUCUCCAUCCUCAGAAGCCUCAGCAGCCCCUGUUUUUGUCUUUUCACUUCCCAGUUUCCAUUGCUUUCCCACACCUGGUAGCCCAGCUCCUACAUUUCAUUCCUGAGGGCUUCCUGAGUGGGAGCCCCCCUCCCACUCACCAUCUCACAGUAUUUGUUCCUGGGGAGCCAGUGGCUGACUCAGGGCCGGCAAGUGGCCACUCAGACCUUAGCUGGAUGGCCCCAGAGCUGCACCAGAAGGUAGGAAUUUUCCUUCUCUCCGCAGGGCAGGUGUGAUUGUGGGGGUGAGUGGGCAUCAAAGUUGGGGCACUUCCUGACCUUGCCUUGCCUCCUGUUUGCCAGAAGAGAGCUUCUCCCUUGCAAAGACCCACCCGACGCUUGUCCCCCGAGUGCCUCUCUCGCCUUUGUAGCCACUGAAGCGUUCAUCCUCUCUAGCUCGGCUGAGGGAGCCCAGGGGGUGGGAGCGAGGAGGGGUGGCUGAAACCCCAGCUGAGCUGUCCAGGGCAGGAGCUGGCUUCCUAGAGUGGGGCUCACGCUCUGGUGGCUCCGGGUUGCUAGUGAGUUCCUUGGCUUUGGCAGAUCCCUUCUGAAGGCACCGUUUCCAGGAGAGCCUGUGGCCAAACCCGCGCCCCCAUCCCAACAAGGCAGCUAGGACAACUUUGGUUCCUUCCUCGCUCCAGUCGCUCAUAACCUGCAUAGAGGAUGACAGGCUAGGGUGUGGGGCUGCAGGGAAAGUCCUGGGAAGACAGUCAGGAGACCUGGGAUGCAGUUCCACCUCUAUCACUAAGGUGCUCUGUGGCCCCAAGAGCCCACCACAGUGCCUGGUGGGGCGAGUCUUGACAAGCAAGCAUUUGCCAUGACUGAAUGGGGCUUUCCAGGCAUGCCCCUGCUCGGAGGUUCAGGGUCCCUGCAAGGGUUGAAUGGGUAAUCUCCCGGGACCCUUCAAAUUCUGAUGGCCGUGACUUGGCCCUCGAUUCCCUGGCGUGCCAGGACCGCCAGGACCCAGACUCGAGAGGAAUGCCCUGCUGUUACCAGCCCUUGAGGAAGAGUUCCUGGAACCCAGUCCUGCCAUGAUAGGUCCCGUGUGUGAACAGAGUGAGAAAUAGGGUCUGAAAGAACCAUCCAGGAGUCACGGCAGGAAGAGGCCCCUGGAGUCUCAGCAGAAAUUUCCCGCUGCUUCUAAUGGGCCUCUCCAAAGUUCCCUUGUGAGCUGUGAGCUGCUAGCUGUUGGGGGGUUCCUUCCCUCCUUGAGCACAUGCCUCCCUCCUCCUACCCACCUUCCUCCCCUCUCUGCUCAGACCAGGUCCCCUCCACGGUGGGGUUUGUGACUUGGUCAGGGGAACUUUUAGAACGUAGUUUGGUUUAAAGUUUGCCAGGAGAUGGGGGAGGUGGGGAGGAGCUUGGAUGGGGAAAGGGGGAGCUGGUGGGGGUCACAGCAGGGAGCGAGCCUUCCCCUGGGUUUGGCUGGAUCACAGAAGACGCAGUUCAGGACUCAGAGAUAAAACCUGGCAACUCCUGAGGCCAUCUGGACCGCAACCAUGGGGUCGCGGCUUUGCCUUCCAGCUGAGUUUGCUGAGCAAACGGCAGCGGCUCUGGCAAGCUGGUUUGCAGUGGGGGUGACUGGAGGGGCCGGAGGGGCAGCUGUCACCCCCGUCCGCGGCUCCCUGGCCAACCCUGUGCCCAGUUGGCUCAGGCCAAGCCCUUCUUCCCAGAGGGAAGAACAAGAAAAGGAGGCUUGUCGUAAAUGCUCAGCUUUGCAAACGCACCCACAGGGCCCGAGUUGGGCGAGUUUCAACAGGUUUGGGGAACACUGUCUUGUCAGAUGCUUGCUGAGUUGCUCAAUUGCUAAUCCCAGGCUGAGGGAAGAAAGUCAAGCCAUAGCAGACAGCUGGGUGAUGACUGCCGCCUGAGUAAACCCCUCAGGCAGAGCCUGGUCUCCGGGCUCUGCCACGGAGGGUGAGGGGGAGAAAGGGCUUAGGCAGGAUCUGGGGAGGGGGGGGGGUGUGCACCCUGGCAGGGGAGCUACGGGGGCCAGAGUAGCAGAUCUGCUGGGUGACAGACAGCCACACUCCCUGACACUCACGUUGGCCCAUCUUAGCAUCACCUGAGACUCAGGGGGUUACAGUGGAGCUUCCCUCCUACUCGAGGUCUCUAAGAUCGGGCACCAUUUGACAAAAACUUACAGCCCUCUGGAGUGAACAAGCCUUUCCCCUUUUCACCCAUCAGAUAUUGACUGAGCACCUAAGCACACUUGACAUUCAGGUUUUAUAACCUCGUAGAAGUACAAAGCCACCCUACUGGACUGUAGUUACAUACAGUACGAAACUGUCCUAUAGGCAGGGGGAUAAAAACCAGGAGAUGGGGACAUGCGACAGCACGUCAAGCUCAAGUCCUGAUUCUGAUUUGCAGAAUGUCCUUGGGGAAGCAGCUGCACCUCUGGGCCUCGGAAGCAAGAUUGAAAAGAAUACAGACCCCUUGUUCCAAAAGUGGGAAGGGAGAGGUUACAUGGUUCUAAUAGGGUCAUGGGUGUGAAAGUGCUUCAUAAACCACUGAUUCUCAAUGGGGGGUAAUCUUGCCCCCCAAGGGGACAUUUGGCCAUGAGAAGCCAGGGAUGCUGCUGAACAUCAUACAACGCACCAGACAGGCCCAAAAUAUCAACGGUGCAGUUUGGGAAAUCCUGGCAUAAACUAUAAAGGGCUGUGGAUGCGUGCGUGAUUGAUCGGAUGCCCAGAGUCAGGGGAGGAGCACCAAGGAGGGGGGUUUACUAUCUAGAAGGAAGGGAGGGAUCCUUUAUAGCCAGGGAUCGGGAGGCUCUUCCUGGGGGAGAUGUGCCACACACCUUCACCUGUGGGACUGGCUCUGCCCACACCUGGCCCAGCGAGUUGCACCCAGAGUGUCAGGCCUCAGUCUGCUCAUGGUCAAGGAGGUCACCGGCUGUGGCCCCCCUUGCUGGGCAAAUAGGCACACGGGAGCUUGGACCAGAGAUGCACACCUGUGGGGAGUCAGAUGCAGUGAGGGUGAGAUGCUUCCCCCAGCCACCCUGAAGGGCGCUCCCGGACACAACUCCUCUGGCCACCAGGAUUUGCCUGUGAGCCGGGCCGGACCUCCCUGGCUUUGUGAGGCUCUUGCAGGAGCCCUGGUUGAAGAGCAGGGAGGCGGCAGCCGAUGAUCCUACCUGUGUGACCCGUGUAAGAGCACAGGAUCCCGACAGAGCAGUCUGGGGUAAACAGGGCUUGCGAGCAGCAGGCUGAAGGCUCAUUCUCUCCCUCAUCCCUAUAAACAAGGACACGACUCCCCCAUCGCACCAACAGCCGCCCUCCACCUCCAGCAGCAGCCAUGCCGGCCAUUCCCAGCGCACGUGCCUGGCACUGCGCUCGGUGUGCCAUGUGCACGAGCUCACACUUGCCUCACUACUGUCCAAGAGUGGGUGCCACUUAUAUACAGAUGAGGAACUUGAGGUUAAGUAACCUGUCUGUCGUCACUCAGCCGGUCAGCGGCAGACCUGGGAUGGACCUGCGGGCUGUCUUGGAGACCUGGUUCUUAGCCCCUCUGUUGGACUAUCUCUGAGUGUGGAACGACCCCCCCCCCCCCCCUCAUCUGGUCGGCCUCUGCUGGGGCUCCAGCCCGGUGCACCACUGCCCUUUCUUCAGGAAAUCCACAAUAACGAAGCCCUCGCCAAGCUAUUCCCUGACUCUUCCCAGUACUUUCAUUUGGAGUUCAGAGCUAUCUGCCGAGGACUGUGGCCCAGAGGGCAGGAGAGGCCCACCCAGAACCAGCCAGCUUGGGAGGCAGAGCCGGGACUGGAACCCCGGACUCUCAACUCCCAGCACACCCAGUGUCAGAGGGAACUUUCAGGGCCAUUUCUGAGCCCAUCUUUCAGAGACAGAGCCAGGCCUUUCGCCGACGGACUGUUUUCAUCUAUCCAUCCCUCCCUCGGUGGUGGGAGCUGCCACAAGCUGCCGGCUCGCCCGGGGUGCCAGACAUGAGUCUGAUCGGCAGCUUUCAGCUUCUCUGGGCUUGCCCGGGCCUCAGGCUGGGGAGCCCUCCCAGCUCCAGGCUCCGUCCUGCCUGACAGCUGCACGCAGUGGGACACCUGGCCUCCCCGGCAGGCCACCGCCCUUCUGAGACAACAGACAGCAUCGUCUCUCGCAACCGGCCAGCCAGCCGACCCUGGACUAAAGCCUGACUCCAGGUACUUGAACGGGAACGGACACCCAGGCUUUGCCCCUCUGAGAACAUUGCCAGCCGCCCUCUGGGGACCAGACCUCCACUGUGACUCACACUUGAAAAAAAUAGUGCCAGCCACCCUGCCUGGGUGGACAUCUGCCUGCCCACAGCUCUUCCUUCUAAAGGCAGCUUUUGGGUCAGGUGCCCCUGCCAUUUACUAACUAGGUGACUUUGGGCAGUGACCUCUGUGAUCCCCAGUCUUCCCAUCUGUGGAACGAGAUUCAGAUGUUGUCAGGAUUUAGAUAAUGCGCUGGGAGCGAUGACAAUACUGAUUACUACUAUUGUCGUGAUUCUGCCACCUCCAGGCCAAGUCCCCUCUGUGACUGCUCCAGCUCGCACCGAACCUUUCCUCUGAUGGCACUAGCAUGCACGCUGCCCCACCCAUUCGUGUUUUUGCUUCUGUCCCGUCCUUCUAGACCCCAAGGUCCUUGGAGACCAGGCUGUGAGUGGGCUCAGUCCCUGUCUCAGGGAUGGAGGUUGAUAAAUACAAGACGAAAGACCCCGUCUUGGAAUGUG
Leopardus geoffroyi (Geoffroy's cat) is the source of this 8874-nucleotide long non-coding RNA. RefSeq lists it as uncharacterized. The transcript has 2 exons. The record is from RefSeq and is a predicted model, not a curated record. NCBI's taxonomy places the organism in Eukaryota, Metazoa, Chordata, Mammalia, Carnivora, Felidae.